CCCCCUAACCUUGCCCUUCUGCCCUUUGUGGAUUCUCCUAUAUUGCUGUUCCCCAAUCCCACCCGCAAGGGGCGCGCGAGAUGAAACAGUUCUGUCCUGGGAUAUACCACUGAGGGGUAGCGGUAAGACCACCCACUCUGAAAGGUACCAUUGGGAGAGGGCCUGUGACAACAGAGACAGGGUCUCCUUACACCGCGUUGGCACGGACCGCAGUUCCCUGCAGCGGCACUCAUGGCGCCACUGAGUCCAUCCCCGUUUGCUCCUCUUCAUCUUCCCACUGCUUUCGAAUCCGAGUGGACACAGGACCAGCAACCCAGUGUUGAGCAACCUCAACAAGAGAAACCACCAGCUGAGAUUCAGGAUAUCACACCUAGACAGGAGGAAGUACAUGGAGAGGAUCCAGUGAAUCGUGAUGAAGAAGAGGAGAAGGAUCCCUUUGAAGGUAAAGUGUAUCUGUGCGUCAUGCCUUAA
RNAcentral lists this long non-coding RNA (471 nucleotides) under Bos indicus x Bos taurus (hybrid cattle). Its description in RNAcentral is "lncRNA (ENSBIXG00005022643.1)". The record is from RNAcentral. Lineage: Eukaryota; Metazoa; Chordata; Mammalia; Artiodactyla; Bovidae.